RNAcentral lists this ribosomal RNA (497 nucleotides) under uncultured bacterium. RNAcentral's name for it is "partial 16S ribosomal RNA". It matches the Rfam family "Bacterial small subunit ribosomal RNA", at positions 28 to 507 of the family's 1533-position model. The record is from RNAcentral.
GAUGAACGCUGGCGGCGUGCCUAAUACAUGCAAGUCGAGCGAACAGACGCGGAGCUUGCUCCUCUGACGUUAGCGGCGGACGGGUGAGUAACACGUGGAUAACCUACCUAUAAGACUGGGAUAACUUCGGGAAACCGGAGCUAAUACCGGAUAAUAUAUUGAAUCGCAUGGUUCAAUAGUGAAAGACGGGUUUGCUGUCACUUCUAGAUGGAUCCGCGCCGCAUUAGCUAGUUGGUAGGGUAACGGCUUACCAAGGCAACGAUGCGUAGCCGACCUGGGAGGGUGAUCGGCCACACUGGAACUGGGACACGGUCCAGGCUCCUACGGGAGGCAGCAGUAGGGAAUCUUCCGCAAUGGGCGAAAGCCUGACGGAGCAACGCCGCGUGAGUGAUGAAGGUCUUCGGAUCGUAAAACUCUGUUAUUAGGGAAGAACAAAUGUGUAAGUAACUAUGCACGUCUUGACGGUACCUAAUCAGAAAGCCACGGCUAACUACGUG